This 465-nucleotide ribosomal RNA is filed under the name uncultured bacterium. RNAcentral's name for it is "partial 16S ribosomal RNA". It matches the Rfam family "Bacterial small subunit ribosomal RNA", at positions 28 to 507 of the family's 1533-position model. The record is from RNAcentral.
GACGAACGCUGGCGGCGUGCUUAACACAUGCAAGUCGAACGGAAAGGCCCUGCUUGCAGGGUACUCGAGUGGCGAACGGGUGAGUAACACGUGGGUGAUCUGCCCUGCACUUCGGGAUAAGCCUGGGAAACUGGGUCUAAUACCGGAUAGGAGCCAUUUUUAGUGUGAUGGUUGGAAAGUUUUUUCGGUGUAGGAUGAGCUCGCGGCCUAUCAGCUUGUUGGUGGGGUAAUGGCCUACCAAGGCGGCGACGGGUAGCCGGCCCGAGAGGGUGGACGGCAACAGUGGGACUGGGAUUGGGACAAGACCCCGACGGGUGGCAGAAGCAGGGAUGAUUGCACUAUGGGAGUAAGCCUGAUGCAGAGCCGCCGCUUGGGGGAUGACGGCCUUCGGGUUGUAAUUUCCUUUCUCUAGGGACGAAGAUUUUUGUGACGGUACCUAGAUAAGAAGCACCGGCUAACUACGUG